Molecule: unclassified non-coding RNA, 217 nt
Filed under: Hevea brasiliensis (rubber tree)
Lineage: Eukaryota; Viridiplantae; Streptophyta; Magnoliopsida; Malpighiales; Euphorbiaceae
Source: RNAcentral
GCAGAGUUGAGGAGCAAUUGCCUGGAUGUCUUUCACUUAAGAGAAUUCCAAGACAUUUGAGGUUUUCAAAUGGUUAUAGAACAAAAGCAGCAUUAAAUCCUAAUUUGAAGGCAGUUGAGGUCCCACGCCAAUGGUACAAUCUGGUUGCAGAUCUUCCUGUAAAACCUCCUCCUCCAUUGCAUCCCAAGACUUUUGAACCAAUAAAACCCGAAGAUUU